RNAcentral lists this ribosomal RNA (247 nucleotides) under uncultured bacterium. RNAcentral describes it as "partial 16S ribosomal RNA". It matches the Rfam family "Bacterial small subunit ribosomal RNA", at positions 523 to 769 of the family's 1533-position model. The record is from RNAcentral.
AUACGUAGGGGGCAAGCGUUAUCCGGAAUUACUGGGUGUAAAGGGAGAGUAGGCGGCAUGGUAAGUUAGAUGUGAAAGCCCGUGGCUUAACCACGGGAUUGCAUUUAAAACUAUCAAGCUAGAGUACGGGAGAGGAAAGUGGAAUUCCUAGUGUAGCGGUGAAAUGCGUAGAUAUUAGGAGGAACACCAGUGGCGAAGGCGACUUACUGGACGAUAACUGACGCUGAGGCUCGAAAGCGUGGGGAGC